CCGUUAUAUUUAUUUUCCAUCCAACCUGUUCAUAGGGUCACGUGGACUUAGAUGAAUGGAAAACACUAACAUCAGAUUGAUCCAAAACUUCCGUGGCCCCAGGAAGUUUUCAACGGUAUGCGUUUCAUCAUCACUGUGUGGUCCACUUAAGUACUUAAUCUAACUGAUGUUUUGGAUAAUACCUUAAAUUGAUAUCCAAAAAUGGAUGGACGGUGUGGAUAAAACCUAUUCAUUAAGGUAGCCACUCAGAAGGGGUACCGAAUCCGCGUCCGUCCCAUUUAGGGUUUCUCUCGUCCCAUGCUAAAACCCUAACCCUAUAUAUACCGGAGAGGUCAUUUCCUUUUCCUCAGAAAACCGAAAUCGGCAGAGCCUCGUGAAAGGGAGCGAGAGAUCGAAGGGAGGCAGAGAAUAAGAAGAAGAAGAUGAGGGCCAAGUGGAAGAAGAAGCGUAUGAGGAGGCUGAAGAGAAAGCGCCGAAAGAUGAGGCAGAGAUCCAAGUAGAGAGUCUUGACAGACAAAUGGUGGGUCAGGUAUCUCUCCAACUGGACCCUCAUCAGCCUGCCAAUGUGUGGUUAGGUAGGGAUUUUUGCUUAUCCCCACUUACCUAUCAUUGGGUUUUGAGGAUACUCGAGGAGAUCUGCCUAGAAACCAUAUGGUCUGUUUUUAGUUUCAUGUUUUGCAGUUUUAGAUUCAGACUAUGUACUGGUGUAGCUGGUCGAUCAGUUGUUGUUUGGACCCCUUAAAGAGAUUCUUGGAGUUAAUAUCACCUCUCGUGGGGUGGCUAUCUUUCUUUUUGAA
Molecule: long non-coding RNA, 797 nt
Organism: Magnolia sinica
Lineage: Eukaryota; Viridiplantae; Streptophyta; Magnoliopsida; Magnoliales; Magnoliaceae
Exons: 2
Source: RefSeq, a predicted model, not a curated record